ACACGUUAAGCCACUGUACCUUUCCAGCUGCUGCUCAUGCAACUGUGCAUCACAGGGCAGCUGAGCAGUUCUUAUACACACAGGAGCUAAAAGAUUCACAUGAUUGGUCAGUGUCACUCUGUCAGGGGAGGGGGUAACACCAUACCUCCCACUUAGACAGCACAGGUAUCUGGGCUCUGCUAAACUUAAUCUGAUUUGUUGGUUUUGAGAGUUAGGCUCUGGUAAAUUAAAUCUGAUUGGUUGGUGUUGGGGUCUACACUCUGGCAGACUGAACAUGAUUGGUGUUGGAGUUUAGGGUCUGAUAGACUGAAUCUGAUAAGUUGGUGUUGGAGUUUAGACUCUGGUACACUGAAUCUGAUUGGUUGGUGUUAGAAUCUAGAUUCUGGUAGACUGAAUCUGAUUGGUUGGUGUUUGGGUCUAAACUCUGGUAGACUGAAUCUGAUUGGUUGGUGUUGGGAUUUAGGCUUUGGUAGUCUGAAUCUGAUUGGUUGGUGUUGGGAUUUAGGCUUUGGUAGUCUGAAUCUGAUUGGUUGGUGUUGGGAUUUAGGCUUUGGUAGACCGGAUGCAUUAUGGUGUUCUGAAUCUGAGGUGGAUCAUUUUCAUAAUCAGCAGUCUGAAAUAAAUAGAGAUAAACAGAUCAUAGAAAAAAAUCAUCCCAACAUCAAAAUUAAGACAGAAGAUUUUGAAGCAAAACCAUUGGACACACAUCUAAUAAUGGAUUAAUG
Long non-coding RNA from Ictalurus punctatus (channel catfish), 725 nucleotides. The record is from Ensembl. NCBI's taxonomy places the organism in Eukaryota, Metazoa, Chordata, Actinopteri, Siluriformes, Ictaluridae.